ACGGAAGGCAGCAGUGGGGGAUAUUGCACAAUGGGGGAAACCCUGAUGCAGCGACGCCGCGUGAGUGAAGAAGUAUUUCGGUAUGUAAAGCUCUAUCAGCAGGAAAGAUAAUGACGGUACCUGACUAAGAAGCACCGGCUAAAUACGUGCCAGCAGCCGCGGUAAUACGUAUGGUGCAAGCGUUAUCCGGAUUUACUGGGUGUAAAGGGAGCGUAGACGGCAAGGCAAGUCUGAUGUGAUAACCCAAGGCUCAACCAUGGGACUGCAUUGGAAACUGUCUAGCUAGAGUGCAGGAGAGGUAAGUGGAAUUCCUAGUGUAGCGGUGGAAUGCGUAGAUAUUAGGAGGAACACCAGUGGCGAAGGCGGCUUACUGGACUGUAACUGACGUUGAGGCUCGAAAGCGUGGGGAGCAAACAGGAUUAGAUACCCUGGUA
Molecule: ribosomal RNA, 434 nt
Filed under: uncultured Ruminococcus sp.
Lineage: Bacteria; Bacillati; Bacillota; Clostridia; Eubacteriales; Oscillospiraceae
Description: partial 16S ribosomal RNA
Rfam family: Bacterial small subunit ribosomal RNA
Source: RNAcentral